AUGUCUAAUGUUUUUUCGCCUAGGGAAUUAAACGGACUAUUGCGAGCGGAACGAAAUGGGCGAGCCUUGGAUGAAUCGAUCUAUUAUCGGGCAAUCUUAUUGGGAAUAACAAGGGCUUCCCUGAAUACCCAAAGUUUCAUAUCUGAAGCAAGUUUUCAAGAAACUGCUCGAGUUUUAGCAAAAGCUGCCCUACGAGGUCGCAUUGAUUGGUUACUCAUCACCAAUAUAUUGCAAGGUUCAUCAUGA
This 246-nucleotide ribosomal RNA is filed under the name Triticum aestivum (bread wheat). RNAcentral's name for it is "partial small subunit ribosomal RNA". The record is from RNAcentral. Lineage: Eukaryota; Viridiplantae; Streptophyta; Magnoliopsida; Poales; Poaceae.